UACGUAGGGACCGAGCGUUGUCCGGAUUCAUUGGGCGUAAAGAGCUCGUAGGCGGCUGCUCAAGUCGAAUGUGAAAACUCGAGGCUCAACCUCGAGCCUGCAUUCGAUACUGGGCGGCUAGAGUCUGGUAGGGGGAUCUGGAAUUCCUGGUGUAGCGGUGGAAUGCGCAGAUAUCAGGAGGAACACCGAUGGCGAAGGCAGUUCUCUGGGCCGUAACUGACGCUGAGGAGCGAAAGCGUGGGGAGCGAACAGG
RNAcentral lists this ribosomal RNA (253 nucleotides) under uncultured bacterium. RNAcentral describes it as "partial 16S ribosomal RNA". It matches the Rfam family "Bacterial small subunit ribosomal RNA", at positions 524 to 776 of the family's 1533-position model. The record is from RNAcentral.